AAUAAUAUUUUUGGUUGCAGCUUCAUAGUGUUUAAUUGUUUCACAGUUGAUUCCUGAGCUUUAAACAAACAAACAGACAAAAAAAAACCAACUGCUGAUUUCUCCCUUAUUUACCAGCAUCAAGAACAAGUGUUUAAUAAUACGGUGGAUGGAAAAGAAAUCUACAAUACAAUUCGUCGCAAAACAAAGGAUGCUUUUUAUAAAAAUAUUGUCAAAAAAGGUUAUCUUCUAAAAAAAAGUAAGGGGAAGAGAUGGAAAAACUUGUACUUUAUAUUGGAGGGAAAUGAUGCCCAUCUUAUUUAUUUUGAAAGUGAAAAACGAGCCACAAAACCUAAAGGUUUAAUAGACCUUAGUGUGUGUUCCAUCUAUGGAGUACAUGACAGUUUAUUUGGCAGGUACGACACUGAUUUUUUAAUGCUUGUACAUGCAGCAGGGCAGUUAACUGCUAGUUUGAGGCAUGUACAGUACAUGGACAAUGUGUCAGUAAUGAACAAGGUGUUUUUUGUGUGUGUUUUUUUUUUCUGAUUGUGAAAUGUAAGCAUUGUGACUGUUGGUUUAUAUUGUGUUUUAUUCCGUAGUUGGUAUAGAUUGCAAGAGUGUAUGUAGACAGAUUUAACUGAUUAAUGGUAACUUGUUAAGCCAUGGCAACUUGACUGCUAGCAACUGUUCAUAAACAAAUUCUAGUAAGAAAUUUUAGAACUUAGUCUUAAGAUUGUCUUGUGUGUAAUAAUGAUUUGGGCUCUUGCAUUGUCAUUUUUCAAUAUUGCGUAUUAAUUGUUCCCCAUUUUGUAUUACAGGCAUUAAAAAGAUUAUGAAGCAACUCUAUUGAGGGUUUUAAUCCUAUUGAACCAAAAAUUGACAAGAUCAAGGAUUUUGUCAAUUCCAAAAGAUCUGCAUUCUUUUGUUGAUAGGUAUUAGAAAGCUAAAUUGGGGGGUUGAAACUACUCUAUGUUCAAUGCUCCUUACAGUCAAACAGCAGAAAUGUAUUAGUUCAAUGUGAACUUUGAUUUGGCAGAUAUCAAGAAAUGGAGGCAUUUGUCAAUACUACAAAGAUUAAUAAACCUUAUGGGUUUUGUUCCUUUAUUAAGGCCAAACUGUUUUCAGAUAGUAGUUCAGCACUUCAGUGAAGAGCAUUACAUCUUUUACUUUGCAGGAGAAACUCCAGAACAAACACAGGACUGGAUGAAGGCUCUGCAGAUGUUUUGCAGUUUAAGAAAAAACAGUCCAGGGAAAUCCAAUAAACGUCUACGUCAGGUCAGCAGUCUUAUUUUGCAUGUAGAAGAAGCUCAUACACUCCCAGUAAAACAUUUUACUAAUCCGUAUUGUAACAUC
Molecule: long non-coding RNA, 1332 nt
Organism: Cygnus olor (mute swan)
Lineage: Eukaryota; Metazoa; Chordata; Aves; Anseriformes; Anatidae
Exons: 4
Source: RefSeq, a predicted model, not a curated record